Molecule: ribosomal RNA, 445 nt
Filed under: uncultured bacterium
Lineage: Bacteria
Description: bacterial SSU rRNA
Rfam family: Bacterial small subunit ribosomal RNA
Source: RNAcentral
AUCAACGCUGGCGGCGUGCCUCAGACAUGCAAGUCGAACGAUUAAAGCUCUCUUCGGAGAGUGUAUAGAGUGGCGCACGGGUGAGUAACACGUAAGUAAUCUACCUUUGAGUGGGGAAUAACGUCCGGAAACGGACGCUAAUACCGCAUAAUGCAGCGGCAUCGCAAGAUGACAGUUGUUAAAGAUUUAUCGCUUGAAGAGGAGCUUGCGGCAGAUUAGCUAGUUGGUAAGGUAAUGGCUUACCAAGGCUACGAUCUGUAACCGGUCUAAGAGGACGGUCGGUCACACUGACACUGAACAACGGGUCAGACUCCUACGGGAGGCAGCAGUGGGGAAUAUUGGACAAUGGGGGCAACCCUGAUCCAGCAAUGCCGCGUGAGUGAAGAAGGCCUUAGGGUUGUAAAGCUCUUUCGGCGGGACGAUGAUGACGGUACCCGCAGAAGAA